UACGGAGGGUGCGAGCGUUGUCCGGAAUCAUUGGGCGUAAAGGGCGCGUAGGUGGCCUUCUAAGCGUGCGGUGAAAGCCUGGGGCUCAACCCCGGGUCGGCCGUGCGAACUGGGGGGCUUGAGCACUGUAGAGGCAGGCGGAAUUCCGGGUGUAGCGGUGGAAUGCGUAGAGAUCCGGAAGAACACCGGUGGCGAAGGCGGCCUGCUGGGCCAUUACUGACACUGAGAGACGAAAGCUAAGGGAGCGAACAGG
RNAcentral lists this ribosomal RNA (253 nucleotides) under uncultured bacterium. Its description in RNAcentral is "partial 16S ribosomal RNA". It matches the Rfam family "Bacterial small subunit ribosomal RNA", at positions 524 to 776 of the family's 1533-position model. The record is from RNAcentral.